This 1369-nucleotide long non-coding RNA is filed under the name Olea europaea subsp. europaea. The record is from RNAcentral. Lineage: Eukaryota; Viridiplantae; Streptophyta; Magnoliopsida; Lamiales; Oleaceae.
GAAUAAGCUUAUAACUUUCCUUGCAAGUUGUCGCCAACUCGAUCUUAGCUUGCAUAGUAGAUAUUAUUCUUGUCAACUCGUGCUUGGCUUGCACCUUUGAUAAUAUCUUCCCCAACUCACGCUUAGCUUUUAUCUCUGAUAAUAUCUUGCAAGUGGCACAAGUGGACAAGUUGUGCAAGUUGCCUACUUGCAUCACAAAAUAUCCCGCUGCAGGUUCAUGUAUUUUUCCUCCAAAAUGGCUGGGUCGGGAUUUAGAAAAAUCUCAUUAACGCCAUGGAAAACUGCACAAUUUUAGGCAGCCUGCAUUCUGUCCAUUCUAUCCUGUUGCAGCGUGCUGUCUACGCUGUUUUGCGGUCGCUACCAGGACGGAUCGAACGCGACCGCGUGGGGCGUAAGUCACUCCCCUACCGAAUUUGGCGACGCCCUCGUCGCCAUGUAGUUCUGAAGCUCGUACUCAAAUUGCCAUAGAUCUCCCUCAUUUUCCCAAGUAGCUUCGGACUCGGGCAAUCCCUUCCAUUUGAUUAAGUAUUGAGUGCAAGGGGGAGCACCUCUCCGUCUCACCACUCGAACCGCCAAAAUGGAUUCAACCGCUUUCUCAAAAGAUUUUGUGACGAUGGGAGGUGCUCUCUUUGAUUUGUUUCUCCCUAGAUCCUCUAAGUCCAGCCUAUGUGGUUUCAACAUGCUUACAUGAAAAAUCGGGUGGAUCUUUAAAGUGCUUGGAAGAUCAAGCCGAUAGGAAACUCUUCCAACCUUCGCUAGGAUGGGGAACGGACCUUCAUAUUUUCUAACCAAGCCCUUGUGAACUUUGCGGUAGGCUUUGAAUUGUUGAGGCAACACUUUCACAAGUACUUGAUCUCUAAUGUUGAAUUCCAAUGGUCUUCGUCUCACAUCGGCCCAUUUCUUCAUUCGCUUCCGGACUUUCUCCAAGCAAGAUCUUGCUAAGUCCACAUGAUCUCCCCAUGACUUAGCCAUUUUGAUUGCUCCAGGACUUCCGUUAGAGUCACCAACCAUAGAUAAUGUGUGGGGCGUUGUAGGUUGUCGCCCUGUUGCAAGCUCAAAUGGACUAUGUCCCGUGGAUUCACUUUUCUGUAAGUUGUAGGAAAAUUGGGCUAUGUCCAUCAACUUCGCCCAAUCCCGUUGAUUAGCACUAACAAAGUGUCGAAGAUAACACUCCAACAAUGCGUUCACCCGUUCCGUUUGUCCAUCUGUCUGAGGGUGAAAACUACUUGAAAAGUGCAAAUUCAAUCCAAAGAGUUUAAACAACUCCGUCUACAAUUUUCCCGUGAAGCGGGGAUCCCGAUCACUUACAAUAUGUUUCGGCAAUCCCCAAUACUUCACAACAUUUUUGAAGAAUAACCUUGCCGUCUCC